AGCGAACGCUGGCGGCAGGCCUAACACAUGCAAGUCGAACGAACUCUUCGGAGUUAGUGGCGGACGGGUGAGUAACACGUGGGAACGUGCAUUUUGGUUCGGAAUAACUCAGGGAAACUUGUGCUAAUAACGAAUGUGCUCAUCGCGGGAAAGAUUUAUCGCCAUUAGAGCGGCCCGCGUCUGAUUAGCUAGUUGGUGAGGUAACGGCUCACCAAGGCGACGAUCAGUAGCUGGUCUGAGAGGAUGACCAGCGACACUGGGACUGAGACACGGCCCAGACUCCUACGGGAGGCAGCAGUGGGGAAUCUUGCGCAAUGGGCGAAAGCCUGACGCAGCCAUGCCGCGUGAAUGAUGAAGGUCUUAGGAUUGUAAAAUUCUUUCACCGGGGACGAUAAUGACGGUACCCGGAGAAGAAGCCCCGGCUAACUUCGUG
Molecule: ribosomal RNA, 433 nt
Filed under: uncultured bacterium
Lineage: Bacteria
Description: partial 16S ribosomal RNA
Rfam family: Bacterial small subunit ribosomal RNA
Source: RNAcentral